This 466-nucleotide ribosomal RNA is filed under the name uncultured Glomus. RNAcentral's name for it is "SSU rRNA". It matches the Rfam family "Eukaryotic small subunit ribosomal RNA", at positions 569 to 1037 of the family's 1831-position model. Lineage: Eukaryota; Fungi; Glomeromycota; Glomeromycetes; Glomerales; Glomeraceae. The record is from RNAcentral.
AGCAGCCGCGGUAAUCCCAGCUCCAAUAGCGUAUAUUAAAGUUGUUGCAGUUAAAAAGCUCGUAGUUGAAUUUCGGGAUCAAUACGUCGGUCGUGCUUCGGUACGUACUGGUGUAAUUGAUUUCUCCCUUCUGACGAACCAUGAUGUCAUUAACUUGGUGUCAUGGGAAAUCAGGACUGUUACUUCGAAAAAAUUAGAGUAGUUUAAAGCAAGCUAACGCUUGAAUACAUUAGCAUGGAAUAAUGAAAUAGGACGUUCGAUCCUAUUUUGUUGGUUUCUAGGAUUGACGUAAUGAUUAAUAGGGGAUAGUUGGGGGCAUUAGUAUUCAAUUGUCAGAGGUGAAAUUCUUGGAUUUAUUGAAGACUAACUACUGCGAAAGCAUUUGCCAAGGAUGUUUUCAUUAAUCAAGAACGAAAGUUAGGGGAGUCGAAGACGAUCAGAUACCGUCGUAGUCUUAACCAUAAAC